Molecule: transfer RNA, 74 nt
Filed under: Spirochaetaceae bacterium
Lineage: Bacteria; Pseudomonadati; Spirochaetota; Spirochaetia; Spirochaetales; Spirochaetaceae
Description: tRNA-Pro
Rfam family: tRNA
About the family: Transfer RNA (tRNA) molecules are approximately 80 nucleotides in length.
Source: RNAcentral
CGGGUUGUAGCGCAGUGGCUUAGCGCGCUCGGUUCGGGACCGAGAGGUCGGGAGUUCAAAUCUCCCCAGCCCGA